This 71-nucleotide transfer RNA is filed under the name Camelus bactrianus (Bactrian camel). It matches the Rfam family "tRNA". From Rfam's summary of the family: Transfer RNA (tRNA) molecules are approximately 80 nucleotides in length. The record is from Rfam by way of RNAcentral. RNAcentral also lists the same sequence under 2 other names. Lineage: Eukaryota; Metazoa; Chordata; Mammalia; Artiodactyla; Camelidae.
GAGGAUAUAGCUCAGUGGUAGAGAGCAUGCCUAGCAUGCAUGAGGUCCUGGUUCAGUCUCCAGUACCUCCA